CGGGGAGUGGCGCAGUUUGGUAGCGCACGCGCAUGGGGUGUGCGGGGUCGCAGGUUCGAAUCCUGUCUCCCCGACCA
This 77-nucleotide transfer RNA is filed under the name Chloroflexota bacterium. Its description in RNAcentral is "tRNA-Pro". It matches the Rfam family "tRNA". Rfam says of the family: Transfer RNA (tRNA) molecules are approximately 80 nucleotides in length. Their secondary structure includes four short double-helical elements and three loops (D, anti-codon, and T loops). The record is from RNAcentral. RNAcentral also lists the same sequence under 1 other name. Lineage: Bacteria; Bacillati; Chloroflexota.